GGGUUGUGAGGUUAAGCGACUAAGCGUACACGGUGGAUGCCCUGGCAGUCAGAGGCGAUGAAGGACGUGCUAAUCUGCGAUAAGCGUCGGUAAGGUGAUAUGAACCGUUAUAACCGGCGAUUUCCGAAUGGGGAAACCCAGUGUGAUUCGUCACACUAUCAUUAACUGAAUCCAUAGGUUAAUGAGGCGAACCGGGGGAACUGAAACAUCUAAGUACCCCGAGGAAAAGAAAUCAACCGAGAUUCCCCCAGUAGCGGCGAGCGAACGGGGAGCAGCCCAGAGCCUGAAUCAGUGUGUGUGUUAGUGGAAGCGUCUGGAAAGGCGCGCGAUACAGGGUGACAGCCCCGUACACAAAAAUGCACAUACUGUGAGCUCGAUGAGUAGGGCGGGACACGUGGUAUCCUGUCUGAAUAUGGGGGGACCAUCCUCCAAGGCUAAAUACUCCUGACUGACCGAUAGUGAACCAGUACCGUGAGGGAAAGGCGAAAAGAACCCCGGCGAGGGGAGUGAAAAAGAACCUGAAACCGUGUACGUACAAGCAGUGGGAGCACAGAGCAAUCUGUGUGACUGCGUACCUUUUGUAUAAUGGGUCAGCGACUUAUAUUCUGUAGCAAGGUUAACCGAAUAGGGGAGCCGAAGGGAAACCGAGUCUUAACUGGGCGUUAAGUUGCAGGGUAUAGACCCGAAACCCGGUGAUCUAGCCAUGGGCAGGUUGAAGGUUGGGUAACACUAACUGGAGGACCGAACCGACUAAUGUUGAAAAAUUAGCGGAUGACUUGUGGCUGGGGGUGAAAGGCCAAUCAAACCGGGAGAUAGCUGGUUCUCCCCGAAAGCUAUUUAGGUAGCGCCUCGUGAAUUCAUCUCCGGGGGUAGAGCACUGUUUCGGCAAGGGGGUCAUCCCGACUUACCAACCCGAUGCAAACUGCGAAUACCGGAGAAUGUUAUCACGGGAGACACACGGCGGGUGCUAACGUCCGUCGUGAAGAGGGAAACAACCCAGACCGCCAGCUAAGGUCCCAAAGUCAUGGUUAAGUGGGAAACGAUGUGGGAAGGCCCAGACAGCCAGGAUGUUGGCUUAGAAGCAGCCAUCAUUUAAAGAAAGCGUAAUAGCUCACUGGUCGAGUCGGCCUGCGCGGAAGAUGUAACGGGGCUAAACCAUGCAC
RNAcentral lists this ribosomal RNA (1163 nucleotides) under Escherichia coli. RNAcentral's name for it is "partial 23S ribosomal RNA". It matches the Rfam family "Bacterial large subunit ribosomal RNA", at positions 1 to 1194 of the family's 2925-position model. The record is from RNAcentral. Lineage: Bacteria; Pseudomonadati; Pseudomonadota; Gammaproteobacteria; Enterobacterales; Enterobacteriaceae.